Molecule: ribosomal RNA, 225 nt
Filed under: uncultured Flavobacterium sp.
Lineage: Bacteria; Pseudomonadati; Bacteroidota; Flavobacteriia; Flavobacteriales; Flavobacteriaceae
Description: partial 16S ribosomal RNA
Rfam family: Bacterial small subunit ribosomal RNA
Source: RNAcentral
UGCGUAGGUGGUCUGACAAGUCAGAGGUGAAAGCCCAUCGCUCAACGGUGGAACGGCCAUUGAUACUGCUAGACUUGAAUUAUUAGGAAGUAACUAGAAUAUGUAGUGUAGCGGUGAAAUGCUUAGAGAUUACAUGGAAUACCAAUUGCGAAGGCAGGUUACUACUAAUGGAUUGACGCUGAUGGACGAAAGCGUGGGUAGCGAACAGGAUUAGAUACCCGUGUA